CUUUUAGGAGACACUCCAUCUUUAUAACAUUAAGAACAUAGGAAUGAGAAAAUGUGACGAAAUUCUGUAUAACAUGAAACCUACUCAGCCAAGGUAGCAAAUCUAAUGGGUGUCCCUGAAAACCAGCUGGCAGCAUCUGGCAGAGGUCCACUCACAAAAGUGCUUACGAGGCUGUGUGCACAGAAGAUUCCUGAACCAGCACCAGGGCUUUUGAUUCAGUAGACUUGGGUCGAAUUCCAGGAACAUCAGUUGUUAACGGCCACUCACAGUGAUUGCAGCCCUGCAGUAGAGACAAUGUUUCAAACUUGUGGGCUCCUUCAUCAAAAUCUUCAGUACCUUCCUUGUCUGUUGGAGAACCUGAUGGAGGAGUUUCCCAAAAUGGAAGCGUCUACAGGAGGAAAAUGUUGCAUUAAGGAGCUGUAAGAUUUAUGGGUGAUUUUUGAAAUGUAAUUUAAUUUAAGGAAGAACUGUUUUGGACCAGCAUUAAGUGAAAAAAGAAAAUAUCCAGCCUUGAAGCAGUUACUGUCCAGUCACUGAAGCAUCAGAAAUGAUUACAAGCAACCCAGAGACAUUUAUAAUGAAAGCCAUCUUUAACCAACUCUAUAAAUCUACAGCAUUGGAGCCCUGCAUCUCCCAUCAUCAAGUGAGUCAUCCUUGGCCUUGAUCGUGACCAUCCCAUCUUCAUUCAGUGUGUGGAAUACUCAGCUCAGAGCUCAUUCUUGCUUUCCAGCUCUGCUCACCCUGGAAGCUAACAACUCUUUUCCUUCUGCUCCUGUCGUGGCUGACUCUUUCCAUAGCUUCCUUGGAUGUAUUAAAUUCUUCAUGUAGACUUCA
Molecule: long non-coding RNA, 834 nt
Organism: Peromyscus eremicus (cactus mouse)
Lineage: Eukaryota; Metazoa; Chordata; Mammalia; Rodentia; Cricetidae
Exons: 2
Source: RefSeq, a predicted model, not a curated record